Long non-coding RNA from Equus quagga, 614 nucleotides. RefSeq lists it as uncharacterized. The record is from RefSeq and is a predicted model, not a curated record. NCBI's taxonomy places the organism in Eukaryota, Metazoa, Chordata, Mammalia, Perissodactyla, Equidae. The transcript is spliced from 3 exons.
GGCGAGAUUAGGCUUAUUCACAGGGUAAUGGAAUCUAAGAGAAGAAGGGUGGGAGCUGCCAGCCUCUGGAGGCACAGCUUUGAAGCUGCACAGCAUCACUUCUGUCCCAUUCGUUUAAUCAGAACAAGUCACAAGGUAAACCAGCUGUGAAACAAGUAUAAAGAUAAAGUGACUUCAAAAGUGCAAUGGAUGGGCUGCAUCAUUUUGAGAAGAUGAGUCAUGCACGUGACUGAAUUGACCAGUUCACUCUUGUUUUUGGCAUUUGUAACCUGGGGUGGACACUCAAAGAGGAGAAUCAGCCUUCUUCUGUUUCCAAGUGUUUGCCGUUCAAAUAUCAACCAGCCACCAUUUUAGAUUAAAUAUCUUCCCCUUUGAUAUCAGGACAUUAAGAAAAAUGACUCAGGCGAAGUCUAUAGGAAACAUAAAAGACAGUUCCUUCAUUUAUGCUGUGUAUGGUCUAGUAGGAGACAUAGGCAUCAAGUGAUGGUAUUAAUGACAUACCCUAGGGCCAUUUGAAUAUAUUUAAAUAUUCAUAUAAGCAGAGAACUUCCAUUGGCUCAUGGAUUUCCUCUGCCUGGACUUGGGUAUCUAAGUAGUUCUCUUCACUAAUCUAC